This 253-nucleotide ribosomal RNA is filed under the name uncultured bacterium. RNAcentral's name for it is "partial 16S ribosomal RNA". It matches the Rfam family "Bacterial small subunit ribosomal RNA", at positions 524 to 776 of the family's 1533-position model. The record is from RNAcentral.
UACAGAGGGCGCGAGCGUUGUCCGGAAUUACUGGGCGUAAAGGGCGCGUAGGCGGCCUCUUAAGUCGAACGUGAAAUCCCCGGGCUCAACCCGGGAACUGCGUCCGAUACUGGGGGGCUUGAAUCCGGGAGAGGGAUGUGGAAUUCCAGGUGUAGCGGUGAAAUGCGUAGAUAUCUGGAGGAACACCGGUGGCGAAGGCGGCAUCCUGGACCGGUAUUGACGCUGAGGCGCGAAAGCUAGGGGAGCAAACGGG